Molecule: ribosomal RNA, 445 nt
Filed under: uncultured bacterium
Lineage: Bacteria
Description: partial 16S ribosomal RNA
Rfam family: Bacterial small subunit ribosomal RNA
Source: RNAcentral
GUGAGGAAUAUUGCGCAAUGGAGGCAACUCUGACGCAGCCAUGCCGCGUGCAGGAAGAAGGCGCUACGCGUUGUAAACUGCUUUUAACCGGGAAGAAACCCCAGGACGUGUCCUGGGUUGACGGUACCGGAGGAAUAAGCACCGGCUAACUUCGUGCCAGCAGCCGCGGUAAUACGAAGGGUGCAAGCGUUAUCCGGAUUCAUUGGGUUUAAAGGGUGCGUAGGCGGAGCGCUAAGUCAGUGGUGAAAUCCUGCAGCUUAACUGUAGACUUGCCAUUGAUACUGGCGCUCUUGAGUGCGCUUGAAGUGGGCGGAAUGUGCCGUGUAGCGGUGAAAUGCUUAGAUAUGGCACAGAACACCAAUUGCGAAGGCAGCUCACUAAGGCGAUACUGACGCUGAGGCACGAAAGCGUGGGGAUCGAACAGGAUUAGAUACUCUUGUAGUCC